UAUCAGCCUUUCGGGUGCGAUUCUGUGGAGUGUGAGGAGCUUAACACCUUCAUGCUUUGCAUAUUUGUGCUCUUGGGUGUACUUGCCCGUGUGGUUGGUUAACAUCAAUUUUGGUGGUCAUAAAAUGACUGGAGGAAUGUAGCUUCGAUCUCGUAUUGAAGUGUUAUAGCCUUCGGUAGAUGUGAUGAUCGAGAUUGAGGAUUGCAACGGAUACCCUUCGGGGCUACCUGUCUGGUCUCUGAUCGUUGCUCUGGUGCCGAAAGCUUGCUUACGGUUAUCAAAGUCGAUGGUCAAUAGGUUAGAACGGGUUAAAUUCGUUAAGGAUGUUGACGUA
RNAcentral lists this ribosomal RNA (334 nucleotides) under uncultured Glomeromycotina. RNAcentral describes it as "eukaryotic LSU rRNA". The record is from RNAcentral. Lineage: Eukaryota; Fungi; Glomeromycota.